This 253-nucleotide ribosomal RNA is filed under the name uncultured bacterium. Its description in RNAcentral is "partial 16S ribosomal RNA". It matches the Rfam family "Bacterial small subunit ribosomal RNA", at positions 524 to 776 of the family's 1533-position model. The record is from RNAcentral.
GCCAGAGGAUGCAAGCGUUAUCCGGAAUGAUUGGGCGUAAAGCGUCCGCAGGUGGCAGUUCAAGUCUGCUGUCAAAGACCGGGGCUUAACUUCGGAAAGGCAGUGGAAACUGAACAGCUAGAGUAUGGUAGGGGCAGAGGGAAUUCCUGGUGUAGCGGUGAAAUGCGUAGAGAUCAGGAAGAACAUCGGUGGCGAAGGCGCUCUGCUGGACCAUAACUGACACUCAGGGACGAAAGCUAGGGGAGCGAAUGGG